CCGUCACGCGCCUCCACCGCCGCGCAGGUUGCUUCGCCGCAGAAUUCCGUUUUCCGCUAAGGAUCUCCAAAAUGACAACGCCAAAGCUGAAGACAUCGGACUUAAUAGAAAAGAUGCCCUUCGAAGCAUACUCAGGGGCCAUGUAGCCACUAGAAAGUGUUUCCUUCGGUGUCAUUUGAGCUAAAUAUUUUUGCUAGCCCGAAAUCUGAAAUUUUUGGAUUCAUCUCACCAUCGAGAAGAAUGUUGCUCGGUUUAAGAUCUCGAUGUACGACAAGCAACCGGGAGUGCUUAUGCAGAUCAUGCCGGCUUGCGAGAAUAGAAAAGUUCAGGAAAGUGUGAAAAGGCAUUAUAAACUACCAAAUUCAGUGAGGAAAUGGUCAUCGCUGCAUCUUGCCCGUGUUGGUGAUCUUUUGCUGGAAGGAUUAUGUAUUUAUGUGAAGAAUAGCAAGAAGUAAGGAAAGGGAGAUGAGAUCGACACCACAGCUGGCUGUAAAUGUAUUCAUCUCCUACUCCGAAAAAGAGCAAAUAGCAGAGCAUAUGACUGCUACAGUGGUCAGUACACAAAAGAGAAGAAAAGAUAACUUACAGGGGCUAAAAGAUGAAAAGCAAGGAUCAAUUUGAGGAGAGGAGAGAGAUUACAAGGACUUGAAAGCAAAAAGGCUGGAUCACGCAAUGUGCAUGACCUGCUGCUACACCACACGGCCAGAACUGAAGACGGGCGACACUACUCUUCGUCAGGAAGAAAGGGUAGGUGAAAAGAGGGGGCUGGAGAUCAUCCAUCACCAACGAGAGCAGAGGGCGAUGGAGAUAGGGUUUUCAUCAUCGCUCUUGCUGCUGAGCCGCAUCACCAACACGCCACCACUACUGCAACACGCUGCUUCCCUACAUUACAAGCUGCAAGCUCCGUCCCUUGCGUGACGCGACCUGCUGCUCAUCGCCAACUCCAGCGCCAGCGACGAAGACCAUGGCGACCUGAAGUUCUCCUCCCUACGGUCCCUGCUCCUCCUCCUCUUCAACAAACCUGAAGCUCUCCAUACUCUCCUUCCCCUGCUCCGACACCGCAGCGACAACGCUAAGAUCGGCUCCAAGUUCUUGGUGACAAAGUCCUGGCCUAAUAUUUCCCUUGUCUUACCUUUCUGUUGUAUGCACUGGCCUGUGGACAAGAGAAGUUGUCAAAGUUCAUCCAUGUUUUAGUAGUUGAUGCUUGUAAUACUGUCACGUGUUUGUGUUUCUAUCAUGCGGACCAUCAUGCUGUGAUCUUCUGUUGAUUGA
Lolium rigidum is the source of this 1272-nucleotide long non-coding RNA. RefSeq lists it as uncharacterized. The transcript has 5 exons. NCBI's taxonomy places the organism in Eukaryota, Viridiplantae, Streptophyta, Magnoliopsida, Poales, Poaceae. The record is from RefSeq and is a predicted model, not a curated record.